This 229-nucleotide ribosomal RNA is filed under the name uncultured bacterium. RNAcentral's name for it is "partial 16S ribosomal RNA". It matches the Rfam family "Bacterial small subunit ribosomal RNA", at positions 568 to 796 of the family's 1533-position model. The record is from RNAcentral.
UGCGCAGGCGGCUUACUAAGUCAGUGGUGAAAUCUUGCGGCUUAACCGUAAAACUGCCAUUGACACUGGUAGGCUUGAAUUCAGUUGAGGUUGGCGGAAUGUGUAAUGUAGCGGUGAAAUGCUUAGAUAUUACACAGAACACCGAUUGCGAAGGCAGCUAGCUAAACUGAUAUUGACGCUGAGGCACGAAAGCGUGGGGAGCGAACAGGAUUAGAUACCCUGGUAGUCC